RNAcentral lists this transfer RNA (72 nucleotides) under Ictidomys tridecemlineatus (thirteen-lined ground squirrel). RNAcentral's name for it is "Spermophilus tridecemlineatus (thirteen-lined ground squirrel) tRNA". It matches the Rfam family "tRNA". From Rfam's summary of the family: Transfer RNA (tRNA) molecules are approximately 80 nucleotides in length. Their secondary structure includes four short double-helical elements and three loops (D, anti-codon, and T loops). The record is from Rfam by way of RNAcentral. Lineage: Eukaryota; Metazoa; Chordata; Mammalia; Rodentia; Sciuridae.
UGGGAUGUGGCUCAGUGGCAGAGCACUGACCUAGCAUUCUCAGGGCCCUGGGUCCCAUCCCCAGCACCACAA